GCUUCCUACUUAUACCUCGCCGUUCAGUUAGAGCCGGGCCUCGAGCCCCCCACAACUGAACGAGUAGGCAGGUCGAACCGGUGGCGCGGAAGGCUCUGGGUGUGAACCUGGCUGGAGCCGCCGGUUGUGCAGAUCUUGGUGGUAGUAGCAAAUACUCCAGAGAGGCCCUGGAGGACCGAUGUGGAGAAGGGUUUCGUGUGAACAGCCGUUGAACACGAGUCAGUCGGUCCUAAGGCUUAGGGGAAGCCUUGUUUAAUAGUGCGAUUUUCUUGUUUCCAACAGAACUCGCAUCGACAGCCGAAAGGGAAUGAGGUCCAUAUUCCUCAACCGGGCAGCGUAACUGUUUGGGCCCUCGUACCCAACAUGGCAACAUGAUAUGACUCUGAGACGCCCGCCGGAGCUCUGGGAAGAGUUGUCUUUUCUGCAUAAGCUGCCGAGGCCCUGGAAUUCCUUUGAGGAGAGAAUGGGUUUUGGUUUAGCCAAGAGCACAGCAGUUCUCGCUGUGUCCAUGAGUGCCCGGUGGGACCUUGAAAAUCAGAGUGAGGGUUACAGCGAUUCGCGCCCGUCCGUACCCAUAUCCGCAGCAGGUCUCCUAGGUGAAUAGCCUCUGGUCGAUAGAAUAAUGUA
This 627-nucleotide ribosomal RNA is filed under the name Diaptomidae gen. sp. JV-2011. RNAcentral describes it as "eukaryotic LSU rRNA". It matches the Rfam family "Eukaryotic large subunit ribosomal RNA", at positions 1333 to 1902 of the family's 3401-position model. Lineage: Eukaryota; Metazoa; Arthropoda; Copepoda; Calanoida; Diaptomidae. The record is from RNAcentral.